CAGCCGCCCCACCGCUUGGGUACGGCAGCGCGCACGCCUUAUCCCCUGUUUCCCCACCGCUGAAAUCUUAUCCUCUCGUCGUCUCGUCUCGAUUCUUCCUCUCCCUCGCACUUUCCUCAUCUUCAUUCGCCAACGCAACAAGACGCUAGAGACGAUGCACGGCUGGGUCCUGCCGCGAUUCCCGCCGUCCGUGCGCUUCGAUGCUGCCGGCUGGGUCCUGCCGCGAUUCCCGCCGUCCGUGCGCUUCGAUGCUGCGCUGGAGGAGGCGCUGUCGUGCUCGCCUGCGCAAGGUGCGGGCUUUGCAAGGCAGGGCUCGCUGCUCUCCAAGGGGGGCAGGCAACAGCCACUGGUGACACCGUGUGUCACAACACACGUAUUUUCAACUUGUACACUGCAAAAGCACGCAACCGCACUCGUUUCUAUCCCCCCCUUCGCAAAUCCCCCCUUUUUGCCACUCCAGUAGCCCGGCCUCCCUGCCUCCGACCGCGCCUGGAGAGGAGCUCCAGCUGUGCCACGAGCAGGCCAGCCCAGGAGCUGUCACUUCCCCCUCUCUCCUUCUCUCUCUCGACUUUUACCUUCUUCUUCUCUCUGUUUCCAAUCUUUGUUUUCUAUAGGGAAGUCACCAUGGAACAACCCCGCCGCCUUGGAGCUCGGCCCGCCUCCGGCCGGCCACCUCUCCGUCGGCCUCGUGCUCCUCCGCCUCGAUCCGUCCGCCCCAUCGCCGUAUCCGCGCCGGAGCAGCCGGAUCCGCUGCCCAGACCACCAACCAAGAGCCGCCUCUUGCCUGUCCUACGGUCGAGAGGAGGACGACCGAGAGGAGCGCCCAUUGAUCCGCCGCCUGGGCCGCCUUGGAGCAUGCCCUGCCUCCGGCCGCCACCUCUCCGUCAGCCUCGCGCUACUCCGACAUGAUCCGUCUGCCCCACCGCCGGAUCCGCCGCCCAGACCACCAACCAAGCAUCGGCCCUUCCCUUUCCUGCGGUCGUGGGUUGAAUAAUAUAAACUGCAGGGUCCUUUUUUAAGAACAAAUCGUUUUUUAGAUUAGCCACUUUAAAAAAGGACCGCGGGUUGAAUACACAUACAUGGAGGGACUUUUUUGCAAAAUCGCCGACGACGUACCACCAGAAGCAAUCGCUACUUUAUUAGUAGGUAAAGAUAA
Triticum dicoccoides is the source of this 1156-nucleotide RNA transcript. RefSeq lists it as uncharacterized. NCBI's taxonomy places the organism in Eukaryota, Viridiplantae, Streptophyta, Magnoliopsida, Poales, Poaceae. The transcript is spliced from 2 exons. The record is from RefSeq and is a predicted model, not a curated record.